AAUAUCAACCGACAUCCAGGUUCACUUGAAACUGCAGUCACAACAGAAUGCGCAACAGUUGCGUCUGAACGAAAGAGAUAUAUAUCGUGGCCGAUCCCAUUGUCGUUCAUCCGAUAACAAUUCGAAAGUACUUACACCCUCGUCUCGAGUGCCGACCAUGUGAACUGGAGCAAAAGCCGCGGUGGACGGUGGAACGUGUCGAGCGAACGAAACGACUCGACAUGAGCGCGAAAACCCUGGCCUUCGGAUGCAACGCGGUGCAAUCAUGCAAGAUGCAGGAACGUACGAGGAACGAGCUGUGAACGCGAUUCGGUUACAAGCUUCUGUCAAGAUGUCCGAGAAGCGGAUUUCGAUGGGCAUUAACGUCAGCAUUCUCGUUAUACUAACCAUCUUCGGGGUGUUGCUUUCCUUGCCAUUGCGAUUGCUCUUGAACACGAAUUAUUACAGUCGAAACGAAACGAUCGGCGAAAAUACUACGAUAGAAACGACGGAGAACGUAACAGUCGAAGCGAUAAUAAUCCCGGUGGACCAUCGAAAGUUGAGACGCUGUCCAAGGUUCGAGUACGAAGAUAGAUUGAUAUCGGUUUUUCAAAGUGAUUACGAUGGAAAUUGUACUUACACGCGAGUCUGUCCGAUUAACGACACGAAGGAGGAAAAUAACGGAGAUGUCGAGAGCGAACCUGUUAACAAAGGGAAUAAUGAAACGUCCAAGAUAUUGAAGGAGAUCGUCGGCGAGAAUUCGACGGAAAAAGUUGAAGAAAGUGGGAAAGAUCGUCGAACGAAAUCGGUUCUGGUCGCCGGACACAUUCUCGUGACGAUGCUUCUCAUUUCAGCAAUCGCUGCUCUCGUUGAAGUAUUGCGAAUACGUUUCGCUAGAGAUAAGGACUCGUCUAAGGCAGAUAGUAUCAGCUCAAGAAAAACGUCCAUGGUCGAGUUACCCGUUCAGAGGAGAUUCCUACCGAGGUACCCAAUGAAGAGUGCGAGAUCUUUCGAAAUGCAUCGAUCUGCUUUACGCCUAUUAGGUGCGAGACCGCCGCCUCUUAUCCGUCGCUCGUCAUUCCCAACGCAACCGUCUAAACAAAACUCUGGAUCGGUCAGUGGAACACCGAAUAAUCGGAAAUCGAGACGCCAAUCGGCCGAAUCCGACGAAGAAGUCGGAAUCCUCAUGAGCGCUCUUCAUCAUCGCACACGCCUGAUUCGACGGCAUUAAAGUAAGGUCGAUCAAUUGAAUUCUUUGAAAAUUCAUUCGCGUUAACACUAACAGGGUACACGUCUUAGACUGAAUGGUCUUACAUAUCGCACAACGAUUAUGUUCACGAAUUUUUUAAAAAUUCUUACUACUUCGUGAAACAACCCAGAAGGACUUCCAAUGAAAUCGUUGUUUCUUCCUGUUCAUAUUUUACAAUUCUGUCUACUUAACAGAAAUUUUACAGUAGCAAACAAUCUUCUAAAUCUUUCACCCCCUCCCGCCCCCGCUGUUAAAAUCAACAACAAAUCUGCUUACUACCGUACCACCAACCAUAAUUUUAAUCGUUUUUGUUCUCUAUAAGGUAAUACACCCGUAGAAAGCGUCUUUGAGAAUAGGUAAUCGCAAAAUUGAAAUCAAAGUGCAAAAUGAAUAAACACGGCUAGUACAUCUAAUCUAUUCGUACUCUGUUGUAUACGAUAUUGUUAUACAAGGCGACGACCGUGUGAAACUAAUCAAAAUAUAAUAUGAAUGUAUUUUGGAAAAAGUUAGAGAUUCUCUUCGAUACAUAUUUUCAUAUUAAUAAACGUACCUCCUUUUAAACAGCGAAUACUUCGACACUUCUGUGAUUUUCAUCGUUUCUCAAGUAAUAUGUAAAACGUUAAUCAAAAAUUGUGAAAUAUAUAUAUAUAUAUAUAUAUGUACAUAUGUAUAUCGAUGUCUGAGAAAUAAAUUCUACCAUUCUUUACUCGAAUUAUUUUAUAC
Molecule: RNA transcript, 1951 nt
Organism: Bombus pyrosoma
Lineage: Eukaryota; Metazoa; Arthropoda; Insecta; Hymenoptera; Apidae
Exons: 6
Source: RefSeq, a predicted model, not a curated record